This 311-nucleotide unclassified non-coding RNA is filed under the name uncultured fungus. RNAcentral's name for it is "partial contains small subunit ribosomal RNA, internal transcribed spacer 1, and 5.8S ribosomal RNA". The stretch from base 1 to 73 matches the Rfam family "Eukaryotic small subunit ribosomal RNA", at positions 1759 to 1831 of the family's 1831-position model. Lineage: Eukaryota; Fungi. The record is from RNAcentral.
GCAAACUUGGUCAUUUAGAGGAAGUAAAAGUCGUAACAAGGUUUCCGUAGGUGAACCUGCGGAAGGAUCAUUAUUGAAAAUCCUUAGGAUGUUGCUGGCCUUUCGGGGCAUUGUGCACUCCGCCAUUUUUCAUAUCACCUGUGAACUUAUUGUAGGCCAGAUUUUUGUUGAAUAUCUGUGUCUAUGUUAUUUUUACACACACCAAGUUUAUUAGAAUGUCUAAUGUUUUUUUAAGACCUUUACUGGUCAAAAUAUGAAUAACAACUUUCAACAAUGGAUCUCUUGGUUCUCGCAUCGAUGAAGAACGCAGC